Molecule: long non-coding RNA, 2690 nt
Organism: Glycine soja
Lineage: Eukaryota; Viridiplantae; Streptophyta; Magnoliopsida; Fabales; Fabaceae
Exons: 9
Source: RefSeq, a predicted model, not a curated record
CUUAACCUUUUAAUUUCAUUCACAUUGUCUCUCUCUCACUCGCGCCCUCCCACUCCUUCCAAAACCUAGCCUCCUUCAAAUCCACCAUCUCCGCCAACCCCCUCCACGCCCUUCUCUCCCUCGGCCCCUACCGCCCUCGUGACUCCUUCAAUGUCGCCGCCCUCUGCCGUGCCGCAAUAGCUUGGUUCCGCAACAACCUAUGGCUCGUCGAAAAUGAGCAUCCGUAGAACUGAUGCAAUGGAUGUAUUGGAUGCUUGCAGUCUGGUAAAAAUCGAAGACCAGGGAGAGAUGACAUUGAUUUGAUUGGGGGAAGACGAAAACCAAAUCACCGAAGCAGUCCUCCAGUUUUCGUUAGACACACUAUCUCCUGUUUUCUUUGAAUCUAACACACACCCGAUUGCUACGGCGGCUUAUGUUUUAGAAGGAAUGGGACACAAGCUAUGUGGGAUUCAUAGUUGAUGGAGCUAAGUGGCUAGUGGAUAACACAGAUAUCAAACUUGUAGGAAUUGAUUACCUAUCUGUUGCUUCUUAUGAUUACUUGAUUCCAUCUCACCUUGUUUUUUUAAAAGACAGGGAGAUCAUUCUCGUGGAAGGCUUGACGCUUGAUGAUGUUCCAGCCAUAGUUGUCAAUAGCGGCCGUAGCGGUCGCUAUAGCGGCGGAGCAGAGCGGAGCGUCCCCCAUCCGUGACAGACACCUCUAUAGCGGAGCGGUUUCGUUUCGCGGCUGGAGCGGCCGCUAUCGCGGCGGCGCGGGGCAGAGCGGCGCAAUUUCUAGAACGGUUUUUCGCGCUGCUACUUCGAAGCCUCCACCUUUUCCUCCUCCUUCUCCUCUGCCACCCUCCAUCCUCCUCCCCUUCACGCGCUAGUACUCACCAUAGUGUAGAAGAUAUGUGUUUUCCAGAGAGGAAGUGGGGGUGGUUGGUGAGGACGACGUCGUUUUUGGUGAAACAUUCUUGGAGUAGUGUUUGGGAGGAGACGACGACGAGGCGGGAGCCGAACCAUAGGGAGAUGACGUCGUCGUACUUGUCGGAGAGGGCUCUGAAGGUGCAAUGGAGGGGGCGCUUGAGAUGGUGCCAUGGUGGAGGUUGCUGAUUAUGGGGAGAGUGGUGGACCUGGUGGGAGGUUUUGGAACUUUCUAGAGGAGAAGCUUUAAAAGGAGAAAGAGAAAAAAGAAUAGGAGAGAGUAGGGGGGAAGUGUCCACGCCAGCAAAAAAAUUAAUUUUAGCUUUCAGAGGAGAAAGAGAAAAAAGCAUAGGAGAGAGAGCAGGGGAAAGCGUACUUGCGAGCAAAAAAAAUUAAAUUAUUUAGGUUGGCUGGUGCUGAGGGAUCACCAAUACAGUGCAUUCUGAUUAAAAAUUAAGUUUGAGUAGAUGGUGACACAUGGUCUGUCAUGUAGAGUUGGGCUCUGCCUACGAGAUCGUUUAUGGAGUUUGUAAUGUUCUCUAGAAUGUUUGUGGAUGCAUUGGAUGUGCAAAUGUAUGAUGAACACCAUUCGACAGGACACUAUUCUUUGAGUUUGUCAAAAGUAAUUUGCCUCUGGAGGUAAGCUCUUUUCUCAAUUUAUUCAACCCAUUUUUUACUAAGUACUUUAUUUUUCAAUGAACAAUUCUAGUGAAUCUUGUCCCAGUCAUGUAAGAUAGUUGGGGGUCAAAGAUAUACAAAAGGGCUUAACGAAAAGCAGAUAACUUCUCUGCUAAAGGUCUCAUGCCAGAGACCACGUGAGCAAGAGACAAAUAUUCUCCAGGUCAUCAUCAUGGGUUCUUGAUAUCACUCUCCAACCUUUUAUUUUCUUCUAUACAUUCUUAUUUUUGUCAGAAUCAAUUGGAAACUGAAUAGCCAUGGCUGUAUGAUAAAUUGCAAUUGUUUUAACUUGUCCUUUUCAGUAUUUAUUCUCUUUACAAACAAAUAUAUAAUGUGUAUUGCUGGUUUGGUUUAGUUUAAUUAAUCUAUAACUUUCCCAAUAUACUAGCAGACAAUUCACGAAACUGAUUAUGAGUAUAAUCCCUAUGCAAAGGAGUUUGGGAUUAGCAUUGAUAGCAAGCUUGUAUCAGUUAAGGCUCGGGUGUAUACAUUUUUUUAUACCAGUUUUCUCAUCGAGUAUGUUCAUGUCUAGGAAUAUCUCUUAUUCCUUACAAUAUAUGGCUGCAAUUUAAACGUGAAAGCUAGAUGAGAAGGAUUCAUGUAAUUGUGAAUAAUCCAAAUGUCUUGAAGUGAAAUGAAAGACUUAUUAUAGUCGUUGAUGCAGCCCAAGGACUGGAUUAUCUUCAUAAUGGCUGUACACCUCCUUUGAUACACAGAGAUUUGAAGCCCUCCAACAAAUUACAAGAUCAAAACAUGCAUGCCAAGAUAGCUGAUUUUGUUUGUAAUAAAAACUAUUUCUCAACCAUAUUUAUCUAUUUGGCAUGAUUAUGAUGCAUACAAUUUAUUUCAUUUAAAUGUGUUGUAUGCUGAAUUGGCUUCCGAGGUUUGUCAUGGACGUGGUAAAAUUCUAGUGGUAGAUUACAAAGCUUCUGAGCUUUAUCUAUUUCCCAAGCUCUCUUGUUUGUUCGUGAUCUAUUUAAAUGUGUUGUUAGCAUUUGGAGGCUAUAAUGGGAGGAAUAGCAAUGAGGUGUGUGCUGUAAGCUAUAUUUCUAAAAUUUUCUAUUGCCCGUGGAAGAUUGGCUUUCAUAUAUAUACACUCUCUUAUCAUA